This is a long non-coding RNA of Oncorhynchus tshawytscha (Chinook salmon), 1944 nucleotides long. NCBI's taxonomy places the organism in Eukaryota, Metazoa, Chordata, Actinopteri, Salmoniformes, Salmonidae. The record is from Ensembl.
GCCAUCUGCUGGCGAAGAGAAGCCAUUGUAAUGCAGCAUGGCAAAUAUCUUAUUUACAUAAAUCAAUUUGGCUGGCAGUGGCAAAUUGUACUGCUCUUUUUGUCAGUGAGUGACAACACUAAUGUUCACCAAAUAAGUGAUUAGCAGCUAAAUUGAGAAUUAAAUAGUGCGUUGUUGCAUCUCUAACUAGAUCAAUAGAUGAAUGUUUACAGACUGGGCACGUGCAGCUAAUCCUAACUGCUCGAGGUAAGUAGGGCUCGAGACUGUCCGUUAACUAGUCAGCAGCAUUUUUUGAGAGACUAACUUUUGCUAGCUAACUUCAAAUUAUUGUUGAUAAACGGGCAUAGAAAUAAAAUGCCAGGUGCUGUUCAGUUCAAGGCUGUUUACGUGCCAAGUUUUGGAUCUCAAUCCUCACGAUGUAGUCAAAAAGAUGGACAGCAAACGAAUGAGUACUUGAUCGAGUUGUCCAGCUCAAGGAGAAGACAAGAUACAUUGUCAACAAAAAAGAUCAAAUUAACGAAGUGUAACAGCAAGCCUGCACUGUCCAAGAAGAAACGAAAGGAUGAGAGAAGGUCGAUGCCUCCACCACGACCCGUGAUAGAGACCGCUGCCCGAUGUCAAGGUGAAGGAGAGAGAUCACAGAGACGGAGAAGUCCUAGCGUUGGCCAAAGAUGCACUCCUCAGAGCAUGAUGAAUGAAGACCUCUUCACCUUCUACCAGAGAGACGAGCACACGUCAACCAACCAACCUGUAAAUUUGAUGCUGUAUUACAAAUAUGUCUGAUUUAUUUGUGUGGUUUGUGUCUGUUGCCUCCAUUUCCUGGCAGUCUGGCAGCUGUUGAAUUGUGUUACCUGUCACAGACCUAACGUUAUUAAACUACUGUACGGUCUCUAACCUACAACGUUUUUAUAUGAUGUUGAUGUGGGCUUUGCCAUAACUCUGUUACUUCUCUCUCCUCCCCAGCAGUGGGCAGCCAGACAGGCUGUGUUAAGGACCAUCGGUAGGAUGCUGCAGGAGAACAGAAGCAUCAGAGAGAGACUGGUCUCCCUCAGCCAUAGCAUAGGCUAUACAUUGAACUCAGUCUGAAGACUAGAUUACAAUCUGGGAAUGAUACAUAGAUUAUGGAACUUCUCUUUCCCUCUCAAACUCAGGAAUGGAAUAUUUUUUAUUUGUUUCCCUUCAAUGUUAUGAUUUUGUUUUAACCAAGUUUAUGGACUACCUGGCAAAUGUGCUGAUUUGAGAUGGAAUGAAGAUGAGGUUAUUUAUGUUACCUGAAACUAAACCUGUACUGUACAUCUCGAGCAAUCUGUUCCUAUAGUUUCCUCUGGUUGAAGAAAUAGACUAAUAUACGUUGGUUUUGAUGGGGAACACACAGAUUUUUACUGUUGUCAACUAUUUUGACUGUUGUCAUGGGGAACAAAGAGUUCUGAAUUAAAACAACUUCUUGAGGAGAAAGUGUUGUUAAUUUCUGUUAUGUCUGGUGAGCUAUAACAGGUCAACCCACCCUCCUGGAGUGCUACUACUGGGUAUGAAGGCUGUUGCACCAGCCCUUCUUCCUCAUGGAGAACCUCACCUCUUUUUCCACUAGAGGGAAGUGUCUCUAUUUUGUGUGUGUGUGGGUGUGUUAGAUACUGUACACUCAGCCACCUAAAGGUAGAAUACACAGGUCAGCCACAGCUCAACUUUCUCAGUCAGAGGUUCUCAGUAGAGCCUGUGAGUGUCCAAAAUGGCACCUUAAUCCCUUUAUAGUGCACUACUUAUGAACAGAACCCUAUGUGUUUCUGUUCCCUGCUCAUUAUUAGUGAAUUAACAACCCACAGCCAACAUGUGGUUCUGUUUCCUGCUCCUUAUUAGUGAAUUAACAACCCACAGCCAACAUGUGGUUCUGUUUCCUGCUCCUUAUCAGUGAAUUAACAACCCACAGCCAACAUGUGUUUCUGUUUC